RNAcentral lists this transfer RNA (71 nucleotides) under Ictidomys tridecemlineatus (thirteen-lined ground squirrel). Its description in RNAcentral is "Spermophilus tridecemlineatus (thirteen-lined ground squirrel) tRNA". It matches the Rfam family "tRNA". Rfam says of the family: Transfer RNA (tRNA) molecules are approximately 80 nucleotides in length. Their secondary structure includes four short double-helical elements and three loops (D, anti-codon, and T loops). Lineage: Eukaryota; Metazoa; Chordata; Mammalia; Rodentia; Sciuridae. The record is from Rfam by way of RNAcentral.
UGGGAUGUAGCUCAGUGUAAAGUGCUUGCCUAGCAUGCAGGAGGCCCUGGAUUCAAUCCCCAUCAUUGCAG